Molecule: ribosomal RNA, 425 nt
Filed under: uncultured bacterium
Lineage: Bacteria
Description: partial 16S ribosomal RNA
Rfam family: Bacterial small subunit ribosomal RNA
Source: RNAcentral
GUGGGGAAUAUUGGACAAUGGGCGCAAGCCUGAUCCAGCCAUGCCGCGUGAGUGAUGAAGGCCCUAGGGUUGUAAAGCUCUUUCACCGGUGAAGAUAAUGACGGUAACCGGAGAAGAAGCCCCGGCUAACUUCGUGCCAGCAGCCGCGGUAAUACGAAGGGGGCUAGCGUUGUUCGGAAUUACUGGGCGUAAAGCGCACGUAGGCGGAUAUUUAAGUUAGGGGUGAAAUCCCAGGGCUCAACCCUGGAACUGCCUCUAAUACUGGGUAUCUCGAGUCCGAGAGAGGUGAGUGGAAUUCCGAGUGUAGAGGUGAAAUUCGUAGAUAUUCGGAGGAACACCAGUGGCGAAGGCGGCUCACUGGCUCGGUACUGACGCUGAGGUGCGAAAGCGUGGGGAGCAAACAGGAUUAGAAACCCGGGUAGUCC